RNAcentral lists this small nuclear RNA (98 nucleotides) under Dasypus novemcinctus (nine-banded armadillo). The record is from RNAcentral. Lineage: Eukaryota; Metazoa; Chordata; Mammalia; Cingulata; Dasypodidae.
GUGCUCGUUUCAGCAGCAAAUAUACCAAAAUUGAAACAAUACGGAGAUUAGCAUAGUCCCUGUGCAAAGAUGACAUGCAAUUCGUGAAAUAUUAUAUU